RNAcentral lists this ribosomal RNA (245 nucleotides) under uncultured bacterium. RNAcentral describes it as "partial 16S ribosomal RNA". It matches the Rfam family "Bacterial small subunit ribosomal RNA", at positions 524 to 770 of the family's 1533-position model. The record is from RNAcentral.
GACGGGGGGGGCAAGUGUUCUUCGGAAUGACUGGGCGUCAAGGGCACGUAGGCGGUUCAUCGGGUGGAAAGUGAAAGUCGCCAAAAAGUGGCGGAAUGCUCUCGAAACCAAUGAACUUGAGUGAGACAGAGGAGAGUGGAAUUUCGUGUGUAGGGGUGAAAUCCGGAGAUAGACGAAGGAACGCCAAAAGCGAAGGCAGCUCUCUGGGUCCCUACCGACGCUGGGGUGCGAAAGCAUGGGGAGCG